GCACCAGCCUCCCGCGUGUGCACGCCCGCGGCCGCAGCUGAUCCGCUGUAUGUUCUAGAAGAAGCCUAAGAGUGGGAUUCCUGGGGAUUAAGAGCUUCACACCUCUCGCAUCAUGGUGAGGAAGAACAGUAUCCCCAACGGCUCCAGUCUGAGGGGGACUGGGCAGAAAGACACCUCAUCAGAACCCAGGAAGCAAUGAGAAACUGUCUCAUGAAAGACUCCAGGGAAGAUAAAAAGAUACAAGCAAUGGAUACAAGAUCUCCAGAAGCAUGCUGUUAUGAGGCUGUGUCUACCCUGAAUUCUUAUGUUGAAGCCCUAACUCUAGAUGUGCUGGUAUUGUGGGGCCUUUAGGAGCUGUCUGCAAGCCAGGGGAGGGCUGUCACCAAAACCAUUCUUUGCACUCUGGUCUCAGACUUCACAGCCUCCAGACUGUACCCAGACUGAUGGAGAGACCAGAAUCUCUUCUCAAGCAUUGCUGGUCACUGUGUCAGGUGGAACAGAGAGCUGGGAACAGAGUGACACUCGCCACUGCCAUCCACGACUCAUCGUCCAGGACAGACACUAAAGCCCGCGAGUGCCGUCGUAUUGGGCCCCUAAUGAGGUCCGGGAUUUGGGCGCUGAGCAAGGAAAACGGUACGACCACAAGGCGGCAGUAACACACAAGGGAUUUUCUUCGGAGGCUGUUUUGACAGGUUUGCAUGUGAGAAGGGUCCUGGCUGCUUGGAACCUGCGAAAGGCA
Molecule: long non-coding RNA, 739 nt
Organism: Mesoplodon densirostris (Blainville's beaked whale)
Lineage: Eukaryota; Metazoa; Chordata; Mammalia; Artiodactyla; Ziphiidae
Exons: 5
Source: RefSeq, a predicted model, not a curated record